RNAcentral lists this ribosomal RNA (253 nucleotides) under uncultured bacterium. RNAcentral describes it as "partial 16S ribosomal RNA". It matches the Rfam family "Bacterial small subunit ribosomal RNA", at positions 524 to 776 of the family's 1533-position model. The record is from RNAcentral.
UACGAAGGGGGCUAGCGUUGUUCGGAAUUACUGGGCGUAAAGCGCGCGCAGGCGGUUCUCCAAGUCAGUGGUGCAAGCCCGGAGCUCAACUCCGGAAUUGCCAUUGAAACUGUUGAACUCGAGGACGAGAGAGGUGAGUGGAAUUCCCAGUGUAGAGGUGAAAUUCGUAGAUAUUGGGAAGAACACCGGUGGCGAAGGCGGCUCACUGGCUCGUUUCUGACGCUCAGGCGCGACAGCGUGGGGAUCAAACAGG